Non-coding RNA from Paramuricea clavata, 108 nucleotides. The record is from the annotation of a GenBank genome assembly. NCBI's taxonomy places the organism in Eukaryota, Metazoa, Cnidaria, Anthozoa, Malacalcyonacea, Plexauridae.
AUAUUUCGGAACUGAGUCUAGUUCCUUCGAUAUCAGUGUAAUCUAAUAAUAUUUCAUAAAUAUUAGAUUACACUGAUAUCGAAGGAACUAGACUCAGUUCCGAAAUAU